Molecule: ribosomal RNA, 467 nt
Filed under: uncultured bacterium
Lineage: Bacteria
Description: partial 16S ribosomal RNA
Rfam family: Bacterial small subunit ribosomal RNA
Source: RNAcentral
GACGAACGCUGGCGGCGUGCUUAACACAUGCAAGUCGAACGGAAAGGCCUCUUUCGGGGGGUACUCGAGUGGCGAACGGGUGAGUAACACGUGAGUAACCUGCCCUUGACUUUGGGAUAACUUCCGGAAACUGGGGCUAAUACAGGAUAGGAGCUCCUGCUGAAUGGUGGGGGUUGGAAAGUUUCGGCGGUUGGGGAUGGAUUCGCGGCUUAUCAGCUUGUUGGUGGGGUAGUGGCUUACCAAGGCUUUGACGGGUAGCCGGCCUGAGAGGGUGACCGGCCACAUUGGGACUGAGAGACGGCCCAGACUCCUACGGGAGGCAGCAGUGGGGAAUAUUGCACAAUGGGUGGAAGCCUGAUGCAGCAACGCCGUGGGCGGGAUGACGGCCUUCGGGUUGUAAACCGCUUUCGCUCAUGACGAAGCUUUGUGUGACGGUAGUGGGUAAAGAAGCACCGGCUAACUACGUG